Molecule: ribosomal RNA, 252 nt
Filed under: uncultured bacterium
Lineage: Bacteria
Description: partial 16S ribosomal RNA
Rfam family: Bacterial small subunit ribosomal RNA
Source: RNAcentral
UACGGAGGGUGCAAGCGUUAUCCGGAUUCACUGGUUAAAGGGUGCGUAGGUGGGCCUGUAAGUCAGCGGUGAAAUCUCCGGGCUUAACCCGGAAACUGCCAUUGAUACUAUAGGUCUUGAAUUAUCUGGAGGUAAGCGGAAUAUGUCAUGUAGCGGUGAAAUGCUUAGAUAUGACAUAGAACACCAAUUGCGAAGGCAGCUUACUACGGAUACAUUGACACUGAGGCACGAAAGCGUGGGGAUCAAACAGGA